AGCGAACGUUAGCGGCGGGCCUAACACAUGCAAGUCGAGCGAGAAAGGGGCUUCGGCCCUGAGUAAAGCGGCAGACGGGUGAGUAACAAGUAGGUAAUCUUCCCUUGAGCGGGGGACAACGGUCAGGAAGGACCGCUAAUACCGCAUACGUUUCGGAGGAAUCCGGGCCGUGGAAGGAAAGCUAGGUUGCGAGAGCCGGGACGCGGGGAGGGGCCUGCGUUGCAUCAGCUAGUUGGUGGGGUAAUGGCCUACCAAGGCGAAGACGCGUAGCUGGUCUGAGAGGAUGAUCAGCCACACUGGGACUGAGACACGGCCCAGACUCCUACGGGAGGCAGCAGUGGGGAAUAUUGGACAAUGGGCGCAAGCCUGAUCCAGCCACGCCGCGUGAGUGAUGAAGGCCUUCGGGUCGUAAAGCUCUGUGGGGAGGGACGAACCGCUGCACGUGCAUAGCGUGCAGCAUGACGGUACCUCCUUAGCAAGCACCGGCUAACUUCGUGCCAGCCGCCGCGGUAA
RNAcentral lists this ribosomal RNA (513 nucleotides) under uncultured bacterium. RNAcentral's name for it is "partial 16S ribosomal RNA". It matches the Rfam family "Bacterial small subunit ribosomal RNA", at positions 30 to 523 of the family's 1533-position model. The record is from RNAcentral.